Molecule: ribosomal RNA, 465 nt
Filed under: Vreelandella stevensii
Lineage: Bacteria; Pseudomonadati; Pseudomonadota; Gammaproteobacteria; Oceanospirillales; Halomonadaceae
Description: partial 16S ribosomal RNA
Rfam family: Bacterial small subunit ribosomal RNA
Source: RNAcentral
CCUACGGGGUGCAGCAGUGGGGAAUAUUGGACAAUGGGGGGAACCCUGAUCCAGCCAUGCCGCGUGUGUGAAGAAGGCCCUCGGGUUGUAAAGCACUUUCAGUGAGGAAGAACGCCUGGUGGUUAAUACCCAUCAGGAAAGACAUCACUCACAGAAGAAGCACCGGCUAACUCCGUGCCAGCAGCCGCGGUAAUACGGAGGGUGCGAGCGUUAAUCGGAAUUACUGGGCGUAAAGCGCGCGUAGGUGGCUUGAUAAGCCGGUUGUGAAAGCCCCGGGCUCAACCUGGGAACGGCAUCCGGAACUGUCAAGCUAGAGUGCAGGAGAGGAAGGUAGAAUUCCCGGUGUAGCGGUGAAAUGCGUAGAGAUCGGGAGGAAUACCAGUGGCGAAGGCGGCCUUCUGGACUGACACUGACACUGAGGUGCGAAAGCGUGGGUAGCAAACAGGAUUAGAUACCCCGGUAGUC